This 117-nucleotide ribosomal RNA is filed under the name Eptatretus burgeri (inshore hagfish). The record is from RNAcentral. Lineage: Eukaryota; Metazoa; Chordata; Myxini; Myxiniformes; Myxinidae.
GCUGAAGACAUAUCGGCCUGAAUGCCCCGAUCCCAACAUAACUUGGAAGCUACACAGAAAUGAGCCUGGUUAGUACUUCGGUGGGAGAUCUCCAACAGACAUUGGAUGUUUUAGGUU